RNAcentral lists this ribosomal RNA (274 nucleotides) under uncultured bacterium. RNAcentral describes it as "partial 16S ribosomal RNA". It matches the Rfam family "Bacterial small subunit ribosomal RNA", at positions 523 to 796 of the family's 1533-position model. The record is from RNAcentral.
AUACGGAGGGUGCAAGCGUUGUUCGGAAUCACUGGGCGUAAAGGGCGCGCAGGCGGUUUGGUAAGUCAGAUGUGAAAGCCCACGGCUCAACCGUGGAAGUGCAUUUGAAACUGUCAGACUUGAGUACUAGAGGGGAAAGUGGAAUUCCCGGUGUAGAGGUGAAAUUCGUAGAUAUCGGGAGGAAUACCGGUGGCGAAGGCGACUUUCUGGCUGGAUACUGACGCUGAGGCGCGAAAGCGUGGGGAGCAAACAGGAUUAGAAACCCUAGUAGUCC